This 15945-nucleotide long non-coding RNA is filed under the name Cucumis sativus (cucumber). RNAcentral describes it as "long non-coding RNA (CSAT_LNC002784)". The record is from RNAcentral. Lineage: Eukaryota; Viridiplantae; Streptophyta; Magnoliopsida; Cucurbitales; Cucurbitaceae.
AGAAAUUUAAAGAAAGAAAAAGAAAAAGAAGAGAAGAUAUUAUGUGUAUGAAAGUUGGCCAAAAUACACACAUGGACGACAAGUCUCCAACACAAGAGUUAAGAUAUAAUAUAUAAACUAAGAAAAGUAUAUAUAUGUGUAUGAAGAAGUGAGAGUGGUCUCUCAUUUAACACCAAAUUUCACCAACAACCAACUGCUUCCUACAUUCAGCUGUCAACAAAAAAUAAUAACUCCACACCCAAUUAAUUUAAUAAUUCCUCUCUCUUUACUUUUUGGCUUUGCCUUUGCCAUAUUAAGUGUAUAUAUAAUAUGAUAACAUAUUCAUAUUGUUUGUGUGGCAACUUUUAAUAUUACCGUCUGGUCCGUCUCUUUCUUCUUCAUUCUUCAUUCUUCUUCUUAUUUAACAAAGUCACAAAGGAACGAAAGAAAGAAGAGGGAAUUAUCUUUAGGCAAUGCAAUUGCUGUCAUUGGCUGCAUAUUACAUAUUUUUCAAUGCUUCAAAGGUUGUUUAUUUGGUUUUUUUGGUUGUUCUUGUAAUUAUUAAUCUCACCAUAUUUGCCCAAAAUAUGAGAGAUUUUAUUAUUUGCAAGGAUGACCUUCUAAACUCUCUAUUCUUCCACUUCGAACUUUCUCCCACUCAUCAAUCUCUUCACCACUACAACUUUUCUGCUUGUUACCUUCAAUUCUUGUAAACCUCUUCUUUUUCUCUCUACUUUCAUGUAUAUGAGUAAUGUAAAGUUUUCUUUUCUUUUCUCUAUUGUUUUUCUUAAUUAAUAUAUGGAUAGUUACAAGUUUGUUUUUUACAAAUUAAAUUAGUGUAAACACCUAUAUCAAUGUUGAAGUGAGUUUAAUUUAGUGAUGAUUGAUACAUAAAAGUUGAUGGUUUGAUAAUCUUCCAUUUCAUAAUUAUUAUUUUUUUAAAAAAAAAGUCUAAACAAGUAUAUUACAGUUUUCACACUUACUGAUAGCUAGAAAAAUGUCCAACUAUAUCAACAUCAAUAAUAAUGUCCAAAAGUAAGCAAAGACUAAACUGAAUAACCACGAACUUUUAUAAAAACCUUAAUAUCAUAUAUCUUUUAGAAAGAGUAAUUAAUAUAUGUUUAUAUAUACACAAAUUGUAGAAUAAAACAAGAGAUUAGUGCAUUGACAUGAGUCAGCUUAUAAAUUAAGGAUAUACUCACAGUAUGCAAAUAUAGUAACACCAUCUUUCAAAUUCAAAGAUGAUAAAGUAGCAACCAACUUAAGUUUGUCAAGCAAGUGUGUGAAACAACUAGGUGACCGUGCGUUAAGGUGACGGUGCAUUCAUGAAGAUAUUAGCAAAUUGUUCGAUUAUUGUGGAGACAGAUCUUAAGAUGUGAGUGUUGCCCUAGAGAUUGAUGACAAAUGAAGUGAAUCAUUUUCAAUAUGUUUGGUACUUUUCCAUGAAAUACAUCAUCAUGAGCGAUAUAAAAUAGCACUAAGAUUUUCACAAAUGAAGUAAGUCGAUGAUUGUUGAGGAACAAUCAGAACCAUAAGGAACCAUCGAAGCCAAACUCAAAGUCAAAUCAACAAGAGCACGAUAUUCAAAUUCAGUACUAGAACAUAAAACAACGUUAGUUUAACUUCGUUUCUUAUAACACUAAGGAUGCAUGAUUGGGAAGAUAAAAGUGAAUCUCCCAAGUAGAAGCAAUAGUCUAUGGUGGAGCAUCCAUUAGUAGGAUCACCCGCCUUAAUCAGCGUCUGAGCAGCCAGAUAACAUUACGGAUGAUUACGAAAAAAGAUGAAGUCCAUGACCAAGAGUUUCCCUUGAGUACAUAUGGUAGAAUGGGAAGAAACAAAUAUAAAAUGUAUAGAUUGAAGGGAUGGAAAUCUUUACGUAGAGGAAGAAAAAAUAGAGACAAAAACUGAACUUUUAAUUGGAAUUUGGAAAUUCUCGUACAUUGCCAAAAUUUAGAAAGAAUUGAUUUCAAAAUUCUACGGUAAAGCACGCUUUUCGAAACUAAAAUCAUGGAUAAUGAAACUUACUUUCGUUGACAUCUUUAAAUCUACCGAUCGUGUUAUUGGGAGUCAUAAAUUAUAUUCUUCAAAAUAUAGACCCACUGAAAAACAAAACUUUCGUAUGAAAAAUUCACUCCAUCCACCGCUAAAGAUAGUAAAGAUAUUAUUUUCUUAAAAUAUGGAUGCAAAUUUAGCAAAAUAAUUGAGUAUAUUACAAUAUUUUAAAAAAAUUGCAAAUAUAACAAAAUUUGUCAAGUUCUAUCAAUGAUAGAAGUCUAUCACUGAUAGACCAUGUUAUAAAUAUUGGUUUAUCAUCGUUAGAUCAUACAAAUCUAUCAACGAUACAAGUCUAUCAGCAAUAAUAUUACUAUAUUUGUAGUUUUUUUAAAUGUUGUUAUAUCUUUAAAUUAUUCAUCAAAUAGUCAUCAAUUAUAAUUACUCUGUUCUUAACUACUAAAUGUGGGACUUGAACAACGGGUUUCAUUUUCCCAUUGAAUUGAGAGAGAUUCAAUUUAGAAGUUUGGGCCCAAUCCCAAAUCCAUUUGCUUGUUGGAUUUGAGUUUGGAUUCAUAUCGUGGUGUUGGAUUUGGGCAAUGUGCUUGGACUUGGGCUUAUUAUCUUCUUUGGCCUAAUUCUUCUAUCCAAGCCUAAAUUGGGUUAAAUAUGAUAAAAACUUAAUUACUAAAAUUCAAUCAAAUUAUAAUUAUCACAAUUUUUUUGUAGCGAUAAUGGCGACCAAAUUUAAUUGCCAAAAUUUCUUGUUUGAUUGUUUGAUUUGAUUUAUUAAAUUUGAAUUAGUUAUAUAAAUAAAAUAGGAACUUUGAGUUUAGAAGUGAUUAGAAGUGAAAGUUCAUUUUGUUGAGUAAGAUUGUGGAAUAAUUGGAAUAGUUGCAAAUUUGACAAUUAAAUUUAAAAUAAUUAAGUAUAUAGCAAUAUUUUAAAAAGAUUACAAAUAUAGCAAAAUUUGUCAAAUUCUAUCAAUGAUAGAGUCUACCAUGUUGUAAAAAUUUGUAUAUCACCGAUAGAUCAUACGAGUCUAUCAGUGAUAGUGUUGCUAUAUUUGCAAUUUUUUUAAAUGUUGUUAUAUCCUUAAUUAUUAUUCCUCAAAUGGUCAUCAAUUACAAUUACCCGAAAUGGAUAAUAAUUAUGGUAGCCUAAGUUGGAUUAUGAAUAAGAAAUGUGAUUAUUAAGUGUUGCUUCCAAUUGAUUGGGCUAAUCCCAUUAAUUGUAGUGAAGAGUGAGUGUCAAUCUUUUUUGCAAUUGAAUUGCAUGAAAGUCUAUUUAAGUAAGCUUUCUGGGUGAAUUUGAUUCUCUUUAAUGUCUCCUAAUACUUCAUCUCUUCUAUGACUCAUGGGAUCCGAAGAAUAGCCAAGAAGACGUUGAUUGUGUUCACGAUCCAUAUGAAAAAAGAAAAAAAAAAUUAUGGCUUGAGUAAAUGUCGUUGCACAUCACACCACCUUGAUUUUUUAUGCGAUCUCUUCAUUAAACUUACUGAAAGAAUUGAUAAAUUAAACUGGUCAUUUAAUUUAACAAAUCACUUAAACUCUAGUGCUGUGAGAAGGUUAAGGUGUAAAUGGAUAUUGCAAAGGAAGACAAGACUAAGAGCCUAGGGAUAGAAGACUCACCUUACUUUAAGAAAUAAGAGACACGAUAGGGUAAAAAAGAAAACUAAGCUUUAAUUAAUCUAACUAAGAUACAACCAUAGAUGAGAACAUUAGGUUAGAGCCUAAUUAGAAUUUCUUAAAGGAAUUUGAUACGAGUCUAAAUAAGUGUAGUUUUUUCUGCCAUGCAUACUUAUAGUUCUGUCAUGCAUACUUAUAGUUCUGGUGUGAUUGUUGACUCUUGUUUGAUUAAUAUUGUUUACUGUUUUUAAUUUAAAUUAUGUUAAUUCAAAGCACGAUUUUUCUCAAUUACCUUACGAUCUCAUUUAGUCACAUUUUUUAAUAAAUUAAAUUGUUGUUAGUAAUGUGGUUAGAUACGUGGGUAUAUAAGAUACUCUAGGUACUUGAGAUUAUAUAACUUCUUCAACAAUUGAGAUUAUAACUUCUUCAAUGCUUGUACUUAGCCCUAGUUUACCUAUAUUUUUACUACUCACACACAUUGGAUCAAUGAAGUAGUGACAACUAGGUAGUGCACCCGACAUUGCAAGCAAAAAACCCUAUUUUCGAGCAAAGUUGUGCAGAGCAGAGUGUAGCUACGCUUCGAAGACAUCCCAUGUGCUCACGUCUCGAAGUGCGUACGAUGCUUUGAUAUUUAUAUAAAUACAUUUUCGUUCGAUUUAGGUUAAAAUUAAUGUUCUAUCCCAAUUGCUUUUUGUAAGUUUUCUCUCUACUUCUCUCCUAUUUUUGGUACUUUGAUGUAUGAAAGUGCAUCCCCUGAUGUGUCAAUUAUGGACUAAGCUAACUAUUUCUUGGUUGGGUUUUAUGAUUUCUCUUUAGUUGGAUGUACUUGUGAGAUUUUCAAUCGAACGUCGAUGUGUUAGUGCUUGAUUCAAUUAUGUUUUUAAUAGAUUACGAUCAUAUUAUCAAACACUUGAAAAUUUUAUAAUUAUUAAUGCUUUUGAUCGAUAUUUGAUACAUGACACACAAUCUUAUAUCGACGACUAGAAAGCCAGAGAUUAAGUUAGCUAGCAAACUAUACUGCACUAACCAAUCUAGGGUUGAGUUGAUUGGAUGUUUAAUCACUAUUUUUCUUUGUUAAAUAUUUAGCCUAAUGCAUGUUUUCCUGGAUCUUAAUGCAGAUUUAAGACAAUUUGUAUUUGCAUGUUUUUGAUAAUUCUAAUUGAACUAGUUAAUUAGGACAAACUAAUUGGUGUUUCCAAUUUUUCUUAGUUAGGGGUAAGAAAAUACUUAAAUUAGAUAUUGAGAAUUCAAUGAAUGAGUACAUUCAACAGAGAAAAUUUUAGAACAAUCCAACUUAGGAUUCAUUUAUGUAUCAACUCUUUUUGCUUAGUUAUUUUAGGCCCUUCUUUUUCUUGUCAUCAAAACAAUAUCUAAAAUUUUCACAUCGAUUAUCUUUAGGCUCUAAAUUGUUUAACUGAUAAAUUCACUUGUUGUUUGUGUCUAAGCUGAUCUUGUCAAUAAGACUAGUUUGUAGGGGCGGAUAUGAUUUAAUUAUUUGAUCCGGAUUUUGUUCAAAAUGGGCAUGAUCAUCCUCCUUCAGGAAAACCUUGUUCAACAAUGUCAUUGGCUGUGGUUCUAAAGGCUUUGCUAAUUAUUGAUCAAUUUGGUAUGCGUUUGUAUACAAAUUAUAUGAUUUUGUGAUCUUCUUAUAACUUUUGAUUCUGGACUUCCUUUGAUAAACCCACAUUUGAACAAAGAGGCACCAAAAAUUAUGGUGUGGCUGCAUGGUUGGUUCUACAGCUUCGCCUUCUGAAGUUCUUGCUCAAAAAAAUGAUCUCUUCUCCGAUCACCAACUCAUCUUUGACUAAACAACGUAACUUGAUUGGAUAUGUCUAUUCUAGUCUCAUUUUAACACUACAUCUUAUUCUAUUUACAGAUUGCACUGAGAAAUUAAAGAAUGCUUUGUCUUUAAUUUGUUGGUGAGAUUUGGAGGUAAAUGAUUACAACUGUGCUCUAUGUUGAAUGAAAAUUUUGAGAAAGCAAAUUACAUUAUUAGUUUAUUAAAAGUAUGCAUUCCCACAUUUUUAAGAUAACAUUGCGGAAUUCCCUUUAUAUACUCAUGUCUUCCUUAUUCACGAUAAUUUUGUAAUUACAAAGAGUUGGUGAUAGCAAAAACUAGUUAGGAUCAAUUAAUUUUUUAAUAUAUAAAAAAAAAUGAAUUUUACAACAAUCUAGUUAAGCAUCAAAUUAAGAUCUAAUGACUUAGUUAUGAAAAAACAACUUAAUUAAAAUUUGAGAAAGUUAAAAAAAGAAAUUGUCACACACCUCUGAUUUUUAUAAAACAGUAAUUAAAAAAAGAUGAAGUAGCAUUAAACAUCACUCUAAGUUCACUUAGUCAGCACUUAUUAUUGAAAAGAAAAAAAAGAAGUGUGAGAGGGAGGAGGAGGAGGAGGAGGAGUAAGGGGAGAAUUGUGAAAAGGAAAAAUAGGCGUAAGGAUUGGGUUGGGCGUUGUGAGUUGUGAGGGCGUUGAGACUUGUGAGGAAGGUGGCGUGAUGAACAGACGCACACGCGCCCAGUUGUUGAAUGAAAAGGUGAAAGGGCAUUUGAGGAAUAACUUAAUUCAACGCUUUUCCAGAGAUCCGACCGUUACGAUUUAUUUGAAUAAUUAAAGGAAAAAACAAAUGAGACCCCCAUUUCAAAAACCUCCAAUUUCCAUCCUCUCUGUAUCUCUUUUCAGUUUUCCUAUUCUUCUCUACUUCUCUACUUCUCUCUCCCUCUCUCUCUCUCUCUCUCUGUUUUUGUAAGUCAUUUCCAUGGAUGAUUCCAACAACAAAGCCUUAUCACUCAUGGAACCAAAACCUUCACACCCACUUCACCAGAUUGCAGAAACCCCAACCCACAAACUUCUUCUCAAGCAAUGGCUCAAGGAAGAAGAACUGAUCUUCGGCAGAAUUUCACUCAAAGAAACCCAAAUCGACUCUGUUAGAAAAGAAAUCACCAUGCUUCACAUUUUCUUCUUCGUCUUCCACUCUACAGCCAUACUCCUUCUCUUCAAUGCCUCCACCAAGGAUUUCCAUGGUGUAGCCUGUAAGAGAUCGUGGAUUCCUUCACUCUGUUCUCUCUUGUUCUCUCUGGGAAUCAUUUGGGCUGUCAGAUACAAGACGGAUGUUGAAGCCCAUUUGGAGAAAUUGCUUGAGAGGGAAAAAGAAGACCGGAAUUUGUUGUCAAAGUGUGUGGAUGAAUUGAAGAGGAAAGGGAUUGAAUUUGAUUUGCUGAAGGAAGUGGAUGCGCUGAGGAGGGCCAAGAGUCUGAGAGUUGAAGCCAAGGCUGUGAGGAAAUGGUCUUCCAGGGAUUUCAUCACUCUGUUUUUCUUCUCUGUUUCUUGUAUGUUUCUUGGGAUUAUUAGGGUGGUUCUAUGUAACAACUAAAAGGGGGGGAUUGGUGAUUGGUGAUUUUGGAUCUUCUUUGUUUCAUUGCAGAUUACUCUGAUCUGCACUUGUAUUUUGUUGCUUUCGUGGGUAUUAUUUGGAUAACAAUUUUAUCUUCUUUCCAAAAGUAGUUAUUUUGUUGUUAUUUCUAAUUUAUUUACACCAUCUCAUCAUUCUUGCUACAACAUUUUGGUUAGAACCAAAUAAAAAUUAUUUUUAUCCGCAUGAAGAAAACUUAUCAAUAAUUGAUAUAUAAUCAAAGGCUUAAAUUCUUGUACUCAUAUUUGUUAUAAUAAAUAUAUAUAGAGUAAAUUGUAGUUACUUACAGGUGUGUUUUUAGAGGCACCUUAAACUACUUGCAAAUUAGAAUACGUGAAAAACCACUUUGGUCCUUUCUCUCUUGUGACUCCCAGCAAUCGAAUAAAAUAUUGAAGGGUGAAGAAAGAAGAGAAUAUCAAUGAAAAUAGUUAGGCAGAGCUUGGUUUAGAGAUCUAAGAAAGAAGAAAUGGGGAAGAAUGCUUAUUCAUUUAGAACUUUGAAAAAUCCCGUAUUGCAUAACAAGAGGGAAACACUGUAAUAGCCAAACAAUUUAUCAUACAAUUACAAAAACAGACACAAAAAUAUUAAAAAAAUGGGAGAUUCCACAGAACACAAAUUAUGUAUUGUUAUGUACAAAGCCAGAGGGGUGGGGGCAUGUUGAGUAAAUGUGAAACCAAAAAAAAAAAAAAUGAAAAAUGCCAAUAUUAUGCUUCUUCAUCUACCCUCUCCUAAUAAUCCACGAAGCAUUGGUUCAGAAGGGUUGGCUGGCGAGCGCUUCGUAUCAAUAAUACUUGAACUUGUAGAUGCAUAACGGCCGGUAUCAGGUUCUUCAGUUGAUGGAGUAUCUAUAAAGCUUGUAAUAUCCUCAAAUUUCCAAUCUGUCAGGUAUCCUGGUUUGGAAGUUACAGUGGCCACUUCGAUGUCUCCACUCAGCAUUGCCACCACGCGGGACAUCGAUGGUCGAAGACCUGGGGAUGUUUGAGUGCACAGAAGAGCUACACCAAUCACCCUUUUUACUUCCUCCUUCCUGAACUCCGAUAAUGCAGAAUCCACCAUCUCAAGCUCACAGUUGUUUUCGUGGAGAUACCAUGCCUACAACCAGGAAAACAGUAAUUAAUCAGAGAAAUGCUAAUCAAAACAUAAAUGUAAGCGACAAGACGAAGAAUGCACCAUUGUUUGAGUAAUAAUGUAUAUACUUUUGGUCUCAUCGUUGAGUUAUGAGAGGAAAUGCAAAGCAAGUAUUAAGGCUAGUCACUAAGAAAACUGUUAUUAAACAGUUUAGUUGUUUCAUUUUUCAGUUUAGUUGUUAUACAGUUUUUCUGUUUCUCUUAUCUACUGUACAUUUCCCUUUGUAAAAGGAAAUGCAUUGUAUCUAAAUAAUUCAAUUCAGAAAAAUAUAUUCAAACCUUCAUUCUCUAGAUCCACUCUUCCCGUAAGCUACUCUUUCUUUAGCAAGAUAUUGAGCAUUUGUUUAUUGUUUUCUAGCGUUCUUCUCAUGUUUGAUCAAAACUCUUCAUAAUUUAUAUGAUUGUGCUGGCGAUGGGACUGGCCAGCAAUUGCAUGGUUUUAAGUUACUAUGGAUUUAAGAUCAAAGGUAAAGUUGAGACAAUUUGGAUGAGAGCAAUAUGAAGGAAAUAGAGAAGGAUCUGAAAAAAGGAUAUGAUUUCAUAAAAGCCCAGGGGAGGGUGCUUAGGAAGAGAAGUAUAAGUGGGCUGUGGGCAUCAUCUAAGUGAGAAAGAAGUUCUUAACAAAAUAGUAAAAAUGAUUUUAAAACGAUUUCAUUCUUACCCAUUCGAGAAGAUAAAUUUUAUCUUGAUCUAAGCUUGGGUCUGAAUUUGGCCUUCCACUAACAAUUUCAAGAGCCACAACGCCAAAUCCGAAGACAUCAGCCUUCUCCGUAAGGUGGCCACGCAUGGCAUACUCGGGUGCAAGAUAACCACUGCAACAGUAAUAUGAACAACAUUAGUACUCGAAUAAAUAAAAUAAAACAGAAAAUUUAAUUAAAGAGCUAAUCUUACAUUGUACCAGCAACACGGGUGCUUAUAUGAGUCUUUUUGUCAUCAUAAAGUUUGGCUAACCCAAAAUCUGAAAUUUUGGGAAUCAGAUUACCAUCAAGCAGGAUGUUACUCGCCUUAACAUCUCUGUGCACUAUGCGAAGUCUCGAUUCCUCAUGAAGGUAAGUGAGACCCCUUGCGACACCCACGCAAAUCUCAAACCGUGUUGGCCAAUCAAUAACGAAAUGUUUUUGCCCUGCCACAUAGAAGCCAUGCAUAAAUAUAACCAUCUUUGUUUUCAACAUCCAGAAAAUUGGAUAUAAAUUCCUUACCAAAUAAUGAUUGGUCAAGACUCUUGUUCUCAAGAAACUCAUAAACAAGGAGACGUUUAUCGGCCUCAAUGCAACAUCCAUAUAAUUUCACAAGGUUACGAUGUUGCACUGCAGAUAUUGUAGCGAUCUCAGCAACAAACUGGCUCUUUCCUUGGUGGGAUGCCACUGAAAGUUGCUUCACAGCAACAACUCUUCCAUCAUUUAAUGUUCCCUAAAGGGUAAAAAAAAUUAGACAGCAAGUAAAACCAAUACUUCAGAAUGCAUAAAAUAGAUACAAUCGUCCCACUAUCGUAUGAACUACAAAGCAAGCACUGUAAUUGACAUUGGUGAAACUUAUGGCACGAUUACGGCUCAACUGUAAGGUUGAUUCAGUCUAAGAAAAAUACAUAUCAGUUAUAGUUUUGACACCCUUAGCCUUUUCCCCUCAAUGGUCACACGUUACCAAGAUCUACAACAUUAUCUUUUCAUUAUUUUCACAAAACAAGAUUGAUGAAAUUUAUUGCGUAGUUUCAGGUAAUUGACAUUUGCUUAGCGCUAUCCACUCCUUGGACAUUCAAAAGAAAGACUAUACCUUGUAAACCUUGGACAUUCAAAAGAAAGACUAUACCUUGUAAACAGGUCCAAAUCCUCCCUCGCCAAGUUUGUUGGAUGAAUUAAAGUCAUUUGUAGCAUCCCUUAGUUCAGAAUAACUAAAAGUAUACGGUCUAAUGUCUAUUCCUAGGAGCUCUGCAAAAUAAUGAUCAAAAUAAAUAAAUGUUAAAGACGUGAAUAGAAGGUUAAGAAUGUCUCCUGGAGUGUAGAUCCAAAAUGAAAGGCAACAGAAUUAAGAAGCAAACAACUACUUAAAAGCAGGUUCUUUGAAAUUACCUUCAUCUUCAUAGGCACGACGCCUUUUCCUUCUCUGAACAACAAAGAAUACUGCACCGACAAUCAGAAAGAAAACAGAUCCUAAACCAACAACAAGCCCUACAAUUAGGCCUGUUCUAGUCACCUUAGUAGUUGGAGGUACGUUACUGACAGUUGGUACAAAAUCUGCAGAAAAGCUCAAUACUUAAUUGAAAAUACUUAAAAGCAACACAAACAAAGAACAAAACUUUCCAUAACUAAUUACUUGGGGUAGCGCUGAUGGCUGAAACAGCAGGCCCAAAAUCACCCUGACGGGGUAUGCAGCAAGUGCCUUUUCCCGCCCAAAAGAGAUGAAUUUCCAGGAAGUUUUCUGUAACUUCAGCAGUAAAAUUCCUUGUGAGAGCAAGGAAAGACCCACCUGCCUCCUUCCUAAUAUCAAAAUUCUGUAACACACGAUUUCCCUGAAACCAAUGAUGAUAAACUCAGAUAAGGGAACAGAGGAAGGCACAGCGUAUGAGCAUCAGUUUGUUGAGGAAUAACAAUGGACAGAAUGGAAAUAUAAUAUUACGAAAAUUAAAUUUAAAACACUGGACGGAUGACACUUGUUCUUACUGCAUAAACAUAAACAAAACUGGAAGUGUUGCUAACAACCAUCUGUAAGCAGAAGGUUAAAAUAUUGUUAUUAAAUUACAAUUUUGGGCCCUGUAUUUUCAUAUGUUUAACUAAGGUUCCAGACCUUUAAAAAGUAAGUAAUAGAUUCGUAGCUUUUAAUUUUGUGUCUUAUGGAUCUCUAAACUUUAAAAAUAUAUUAGACACAAUUGAAAGUUUAACGAGAUAUUAAACAAACUUAAGAUAUUGGAUCAAAUAUAGGCAAAGCCUUGGUGUAUACCAAAAUUUGGGACAAUAAUUUACUUUUUGCCUCCGCCUGGAAGUAUGGUAAAUAAAGAGUCAAAACAAGAUUAUAUAAAUAAAGAUGAAACAAAAAGGAACCUGUAUAUAUAUAUCAAAGAGACGCCUCCCAAGGCUUUGCCAUGUAUUUGAAUUUGGGAAAGCUAUUUCUGCAAAAUGAAGGUUCACAGUGUAGUUGCCGUUCUCAAGCCCUAGUCCAUAGUAUCUCAAUGAUGAAGCAGAUAUUCGCUGUGUCUGAAAAAGUUCUGACUCGAGGGUGUUCGAGAAUUGAGACAUCGUACUGGCUGUGUAAUUAGGAUUGCUGGUCCCAGUAAAGUAUCCAGUAUUACUAACGGCCCACCUCUGUGACUCAGUGACAAAGUACGUAGCAGGACCGAGGGCCAUAUUUUCCCUUUCAAACAAAACCCCUGAUGAACUUCUGAUCUGUGGACCUCCACACUUAAUCCCAAAAUCAGAAUCUGGCAUACAUACGCAAGACCAGAGUUACAUAAAAAGAUAUUCACCCAUAGGAUGGGGCAUCUUCUGACUUGCACUUGCCUUGUGUAAUGGCAGCAUUAUGAAGAUGUAUAAUCGUAUUUUAGAAACUUGUACAAAAAUAUAUGAGGGGAAAACAAGGUAUUUAGAAUCACAGAUUUUGAGAUUUAAAUCAGCUUGAAGUUGAGCUGGAAUGGACAAAAGUAAGCCUGAGGUAGUUUUUCCACUUCCUCAGAGAAACAUACAACAAAUAGAAAGAAAAUAUUUUGUAAUUUCUACUCACAUAAUGGACGGCCUCGAUUACAAGGAAAGUUGCGUUGAAGACAAUUCAAUCCAGAAGGCAAAACCCUGAAAGCAAAAGAGAAAUGUGUUAAACAAGCAACUUUAAGACAAUGAAGUGUUUGUAAGCAUAGUUAACCGGCACACAAAAGAGAGUAAGGAUAUUAAAUCAACUCAUGGAAAUACCUGCUAUUGCUACUUUCAAUUGUGAAAAUGUUGGCAACUAAAUUUCUGCAUAUCAAAGCCAACAAGAUUAUAUCAUAACCUUCAUCUUAAUGUUGCAUGAGUAGGUAGGGAGUGUUAAGUGUACUAUUGUAAUUUGCAUGAUUGUAAAGAAAAAGAUAUAGAACAGAAAAUAAUGGCCACUCACAGCUGUAAGUUUUCCUGGUCGAUCCAAGCAGGAAAGCUCCCUGAUAAAUCAUUAUAUGACAAGUCUCUACAAGAUCAAAUGGAAACGCAUUAGUACUCAAUAUAGAAGGUAAUAGCCAAAGAAAGGUGCAAAAGUAAAAUGUGAUAAACGACCAUUACGUUAUGGAAUUAUCAAGUUACACUAAAUAAUUUAGCUUAAUCGCUCCACAGUAAUUCGUGUAGGUUUUAGUAAACAUUUUGAACAGGUAGUCAGAUUCUUUAGUGUCUGACUGAGCCAAUAAAUCUAAGUGUGCCUGAAAUUGUCACUGUUUUCAGAUGGCAAAAUCAAGCACAUGAUUAUAUGCCUGAAUGAAUACCAUGCCUCUCAAACCUAAAUGUCAGAAAACGUGUAUAUAAAAAUUACCCCAGAAAUGCAUCCUGUGCAGCACCUUACUUUGAAUAUUAUAACUCUGUAAUUGAGAUGUUUGAUAAAAAUGCAUUCCUUUGGAGCAUAAAGAAAAGACGAUAGAAUCUUUCAUAUAUUUUUAGUAUAGAAAUUUCAUUUCCAGGAAUAGAACAUAUCAACCAUCUAAUUGAUCAAAGGAUUAUUGCUAGAUCAGAAACAUGUGUAAGGGGAACUGUAAAAAUCAACAUUUGCAAGACAGACUCACAUAUUUAGAAGUGAUACACUCUUCUGUGUAGGUAGGGUCCCAUUUAACUUAUUAUUUCCAAGGAUCCUGCACAGCCGACCGAGAAUAAACACUUCAAUUAAACAAAAAAACGGUGGGAGUCAUAUAGUUAUUGAAGGAAGGGUUGGAUGUUACAAGUGUGACAGUGAGCUCAAACUGAAAAGUGAGCUUGGAAUCUCUCCUGUCAAGUUGUUGAAGCUCAAGUCCCUACAAUAGAAAGGAGAACAAAGUCAAAUUAUUACCAAAACCACAAGAACUUUAAGAAUAAAAUGCGAUCUUCAAAUAGGAUCAACUCUCCACAAGAGAACUAAAUUACAUAAUGGUGAAAAUUAAAAAAUUUAAAAUAAAUGUUCCUAAAUUUACCAUCUUAAUUUAUUAAUCAGUUUUGAGAUGAGAUGACACCAACCAAUUUCUUGAAAAAAAACAUGAAACAUGUUGUAUCUCGGGUGAUUUGGUGGGGCAAGAAUAUCAUACACAAGAACUGGCAAACAGUUGUAUGGGUCAAAGUUGAUUGCAACACAAAAAAAAUCCAACCUAGCUCAUUACUAGCAACAAAUUCAUUUAAACAGUUAUUCAUUGAUGAGGAACUCUUACAGCUGGGCAAGUCUACGAAAUUCUCCAAUGUUGGAUGGAAUUGAACCAGUAAUAUUAUUAUUUCUCAGCACCCUGCAAGAAAAGGAAUGUUAUAUUUAUUGUUAGAUAUUAUAUUAAAUUUGUCUUCACCCAUAAGCUUAUACUUUUGGGUCAAUCAAUGACUAAAGAUGGUAUCAAAGUAGGUUGAUUCAAGAGAUUCUAAGUUCAAACCCCUGCAUUAUUAUAUCACCUUCCCAUUUAAUUUUCAUUUCCACUUGUUGGGCCUUCAUCAUAUUUCAAGCCCAUAAAUGAGGGGGAAUGUUAAAUAUUUUGUUAAAUUUGCAUUCACCUAUAAGCUUAAGUUUUUGGUUCAAUCAAUGAUUUAAGAGUUAUAAAAUGUUCGGGAGAUUCAAAAUAUUAAAAAUAAUAAUAAUAAGGGAUAUUUAACUUUUAAAUAUAUAUAUUUAAACGUCAUAGAAAAAAAACCACUAAAAGCCAAAAAUUCAUUACACUUGAUUUUCCUGUGAAAUGUAAAUAUUUUGUCUAUUUUGUUAUCUUUGACAAUUUCCCUAAUAAUAAUAAUAAUAACAACAACAACAAUAAUAAUAUAUAACAGCAACGAAACAAAAAAUGGAGCCAACUCACAGGAUAGUUAGAGAUGUCAUUUUACUGAUGAAUGCCAGAGAAGAGCUCCCAUUGGAUAAAUCACCUAUUCUCCUAUAUCAAUGAUAAAUGGUACACAUUAGCAAUGAUUCAAACAGUACAUAGACCAAAUAACCUGAAAUGGUUCUAUUUACUCACAACUCAGUCAAAGAUGUCAAGUUUGAAAAUGUCGAUGGUAUGGGACCUGUAAACGAGUUUCCUUGAAACCUCCUACAAAAGUAAGCAGGAAUGAGAAUUUUCACCAAGAUAAAAUCUCCAGCCAUUGCUUGGGCCAUCAGGCACCAUGGAGCUAAUAAGUUCUCUUACAAAGAUGUGAGCCUUGUCCAGUUCCCGAUGAAAUCAGGUAUUCUGCCAGUGAAUUCAUUGUCCGAUGCCCAUCUGUUCAGAGGAGAGAUUAAUAUCAAAAUGAUGCAUUCUUGGCUGAUAAAGUUAGGAAAAGUUGAAGCCAGAAAAUGGAUUACACUAUCUGCAAGUUUCUUAGACGUGAAAAUGAUGGAGGAAUACCACCCGAAACUCCAGAGCUAUCAAUGUAUCUAUCAAGACAAACAUGAUUAACAAAUUAUCAGUAUAAUCGUAAUGAAACAGUGCAAGGCAAAGUAAAGGUAGAUCAUCACAACCAAGCAUAACAAAACUUUAAUUAUAGUCAAAGAUUACAACUGGGACAAAUAUGUUCAUUCAGAUCUUUCAGCAUGCUCAUAACUCAUAAAUCAUACAUAUCACAGGGUGAAGGGACCCAAAGUCAAAUUAGUAUUUUAGAUUCUUGCAUCACAAACUCACAACUAAAGUAAAAUGAGCGUGAUUACAUACUGGUAAGAACUAUAAGUUAGGAUUGUGAACCGAUAAGUUAAUGAGCUCCUUCUUUCACAAAAGUUGGUUUAACUUUCAGUCUUCUCUCUUUUAUGUCUCCAACAUUAUACUCUUCAUUAACUGAUGUUUGGAUCUCAAACAUCUACUUAAGUAUGUAAAAAUUCAACAUAUGAGUUUAUGUUUACAACGUGUUGUGUUAAAUUGAUGAACGUCAAAUAGGAUAUAAUUCCUCUAGUUGGAGCAAGUAUUCUCUACUAGCUAUCACCUGAAGCAAGCUGUCUCCUCCAUUUUGUAAGUAUAAUCUUACUAAUCAAUGGAAGCGUUUUUGUAAUUAUCUUUCCAUAGUUACAUAUAUAAUUCCUAUCAUUUGUACAAGAGUGAGUUUUAUCGUGAGCUUUCAAUCAAUAAUAGCAAGUCAUCUUUCUUCAUGUCUUAUAUACAUAUAAAGACCAUGGUAUUUCUGGAAAUUACAAAAGUUAAAAGCUACAGAAACGGCACAUCCAACAAUAUUCUGAAUAUCAAAAAACUGAGGGCAAAACACAUGACUACAGAAUUUUACUCUUUUAUCCCUAUUGUUAGAAAGUUUGAUACUAAAACAGAUUUUGUUAUUACAGUCUAGGAAAGAAGCCAAUAGACAUAAGUGACAAAUGUAGGUAUAAACAGAUAACGAGCAUUUCGAGGGGAAAAAAGAACGAUGAAAAGCUUACAGUUCCCUUAACACAGAAAGAUUUCCAAGUUCUGACGGUAAGGGACCGGAGAAAUUGUUGGACCCAAAUGCCCUACAAUAUCAGUCAAAACACAACAGUUAAAUAUGUUCAUAUGAAAAAAAUACAGCUGCGUGGCAUCUAUUGUUAAUAAUCUGCAUCUGUACUCUUGAAAGUUUUUCAUUACUCAUAGCUCCCAUUCAUAAGUAAGGCAAAAAAAAAGAUAAGCAUCUGAGUGAAUUUAAAACUUUUGAGUGGAAAGAAAAUAUAAAAGAUAAAAAAAAAAAUUGAAAAUUUUAGCUUCAUAGGUUUGAUAAAAA